GGGUGAGUAACACGUGGGUAACCUGCCCAAGAGACUGGGAUAACACCUGGAAACAGAUGCUAAUACCGGAUAACAACACUAGACGCAUGUCUAGAGUUUGAAAGAUGGUUCUGCUAUCACUCUUGGAUGGACCUGCGGUGCAUUAGCUAGUUGGUAAGGUAACGGCUUACCAAGGCAAUGAUGCAUAGCCGAGUUGAGAGACUGAUCGGCCACAUUGGGACUGAGACACGGCCCAAACUCCUACGGGAGGCAGCAGUAGGGAAUCUUCCACAAUGGACGAAAGUCUGAUGGAGCAACGCCGCGUGAGUGAAGAAGGGUUUCGGCUCGUAAAGCUCUGUUGGUAGUGAAGAAAGAUAGAGGUAGUAACUGGCCUUUAUUUGACGGUAAUUACUUAGAAAGUCACGGCUAACUACGUGCCAGCAGCCGCGGUAAUACGUAGGUGGCAAGCGUUGUCCGGAUUUAUUGGGCGUAAAGCGAGUGCAGGCGGUUCAAUAAGUCUGAUGUGAAAGCCUUCGGCUCAACCGGAGAAUUGCAUCAGAAACUGUUGAACUUGAGUGCAGAAGAGGAGAGUGGAACUCCAUGUGUAGCGGUGGAAUGCGUAGAUAUAUGGAAGAACACCAGUGGCGAAGGCGGCUCUCUGGUCUGCAACUGACGCUGAGGCUCGAAAGCAUGGGUAGCGAACAGGAUUAGAUACCCUGGUAGUCCAUGCCGUAA
Molecule: ribosomal RNA, 714 nt
Filed under: uncultured bacterium
Lineage: Bacteria
Description: bacterial SSU rRNA
Rfam family: Bacterial small subunit ribosomal RNA
Source: RNAcentral